UGUUAUAGUAGUUAAAAUAUAAUAAAGGUAUGUGGAACCUUAGUUGAUUGUAUCCUAUAAUAU
This 63-nucleotide transfer RNA is filed under the name Anaticola crassicornis (slender duck louse). RNAcentral describes it as "tRNA-His". The record is from RNAcentral. Lineage: Eukaryota; Metazoa; Arthropoda; Insecta; Psocodea; Philopteridae.